CAGAGAGCUAGAUCAUGGUAGCAUCUGAAUAUCAGGAUAGACUCUUUGAAAUACACUCUGUAUUCAGGGGAGACCUGCUCACUUAAAGAAUCCAUUGCACAAAUGACUUCCCAGGUCAUCUGAACAGCCAACAGAUUUUCCUCUGACGAGCUGCAUGCUGCAUCAUGGAAGUCACAUGUGAGAAACAGUCCGGCCAGGGAGCCUGGCUCAUAGGAGAAAAUGGAACCAUCAGCCUCCCAGAUAAUAAUUCCCAUAAGGCAAUGCGUCACUAGGGGAAAAGGCAGUUUCAUCUUCACCUGCAUCAAAAUAAGCAUUGUGAUUUCAGGACUUUCAUAACAUUGCAUUUUGAUCAAAAUUAUUGGAAUUUCCAGUCUGUGCAUGCAAAAAAAAAUAAAACUUUAACUUUUUUGUCUCA
This is a long non-coding RNA of Dermochelys coriacea (leatherback sea turtle), 415 nucleotides long. RefSeq lists it as uncharacterized. NCBI's taxonomy places the organism in Eukaryota, Metazoa, Chordata, Testudines, Dermochelyidae. The transcript is spliced from 2 exons. The record is from RefSeq and is a predicted model, not a curated record.